GACGAACGCUGGCGGCGUGCUUAACACAUGCAAGUCGAACGGUAAGGCCCUUCGGGGUACACGAGUGGCGAACGGGUGAGUAACACGUGGGUGAUCUGCCCUGCACUUCGGGAUAAGCCUGGGAAACUGGGUCUAAUACCGGAUAGGACUCCGGACUGCAUGGUCUGGGGUGGAAAGCUUUUGCGGUGUGGGAUGGGCCCGCGGCCUAUCAGCUUGUUGGUGGGGUGAUGGCCUACCAAGGCGACGACGGGUAGCCGGCCUGAGAGGGUGACCGGCCACAAUGGGACUGGGAUACGGCCCAGACGCCUACGGGAGGCAGCAGUGGGGAAUAUUGCACAAUGGGCGCAAGCCUGAUGCAGCGACGCCGCGUGAGGGAUGACGGCCUUCGGGUUGUAAACCUCUUUCAGCAUCGACGAAGCGAAAGUGACGGUAGGUGCAGAAGAAGGACCGGCCAACUACGUGCCAGCAGCCGCGGUAA
RNAcentral lists this ribosomal RNA (478 nucleotides) under uncultured bacterium. Its description in RNAcentral is "partial 16S ribosomal RNA". It matches the Rfam family "Bacterial small subunit ribosomal RNA", at positions 28 to 523 of the family's 1533-position model. The record is from RNAcentral.